CGUCCUGCAAAGAUGGCGUGUGGGUGCACGCUCCUAUGGAACUGUUCACCACUAAACCAGAGGUCAACUGCAGCAUCACCUGAGAAUGUUUCGUCUUUACUACUUGUCUCCAGGAUAAUGUCAAGCGGUAACGUCACUGGAUCAUUUAACAUAAUUUUGGGCAAGUAAUUCAAAAUUUGAAGGAAAAAGGGCGAGGUAAGUUUUCUGCAAAUGUUACUUGAACCUCAGUGUAUAGUGAACCUCAGUGUAUAUUGGUUUUCUGGUGUAUAUUAAACAUGUUUUUUUUCAGCUUAAUGCCAUAGCUGAAAGUUUGUAAAUUGAAUUAUGUAUAAAAAAUUUGAAAUUUUGUACCUAGUAUACAAUUGUGCUGGGCAGCCCUCGUCCCAGGCAUUGGGGAAUUACGAGUAAUUGUUGGAACAUAUAAUACAUAAUAUUUGUUCAUAUGUAUACAGUACUGAAUAUUAUGUAUAGUAAUACCGGUGUUUUAAUUGAAUGACUCUUGUUCUGUUGUGAUGUUAUUUUACAAAACGGAGUUGUGGAACUUCUCUCAUCUUGAGACCAGUAGGUAACUGCCCCUUUUGGUGUUAUGUUAAUUUGCCAUAGAUUAGUUCAGGGGCUACUUAUCACCCUGGCAACUCAAGAGCCUGCCGCCCUGGCAACACCAGGGCCUGCCGCCCUGCUAACACCAGGGCCUACCGCCCUGCCAACACUAGGGCCUACCGUCCUGGCAAGUCCAGGGCUUGCCGCCUUGGCAACACCAGGGCCUACAGCCCUGGCAACUCCAGGGCCUGCCUCCCUGAUAACUCCAGGGCCUGCCAACACCAGGGCCUACAGCCCUGGCUACUCCAGGGCCUGCCGCCCUGGCAACUCCAGGACCUGCCGCCCUGGCAACUCCAGGGCCUGCCUCCCUGGCUACUCUAGGGCCUGCCGCCCUGGCAACUCCAGGACCUGCCGCCCUGGCAACUCCAGGGCCUGCCGCCCUGGCAACUCCAGGGCCUGCCUCCCUGGCUACUCCAGGGCCUGCCUCCCUGGCUACUCCAGGGCCUGCCUCCCUGGCUACUCCAGGGCCUGCCUCCCUGGCUACUCCAGGGCCUGCCACCCUGGCAACUCCAGGGCCUGCCCCCCUGGCAACUCCAGGACCUGCCGCCCUGGCAACUCCAGGGCCUGCCUCCCUGGCUAUUCCAGGGCCUGCCUCCCUGGCUACUCCAGGACCUGCCGCCCUGGCAACUCCAGGGCCUGCCUCCCUGGCUAUUCCAGGGCCUGCCGCCUUGGCAACUCCAGGACCUGCCGCCCUGGCAACUCCAGGGCCUGCCACCCUGGCUACUCCAGGGCCUGCCACCCUGGCCUAAUUCACCUUGUAAUUAAAAUGUUUUACACUGCUUUGUAUAUAAAUUAUUUGAAUUGUUUUCAAUUUUACUUCCAUCUAAAAAUCUAAAUUUUGUUUUUGGUUCAUUUUUCUUGCACUACUUAAUAUUUCCCUUUGCAACUUUAAUGUUAUUUCUUCAGCAAUUUUUUUAGCAAUAUUUCGCCGGUUUUUCUGCCUAAUUGUUAUGAGUAAUAAUUGUUCUUUUCAACCCAAUUUUUUUUUUCAGCUUAACAAUGUUGAACC
Molecule: long non-coding RNA, 1609 nt
Organism: Cherax quadricarinatus
Lineage: Eukaryota; Metazoa; Arthropoda; Malacostraca; Decapoda; Parastacidae
Source: RefSeq, a predicted model, not a curated record